Long non-coding RNA from Chelonia mydas (Green sea turtle), 358 nucleotides. RefSeq lists it as uncharacterized. The transcript is spliced from 2 exons. The record is from RefSeq and is a predicted model, not a curated record. Lineage: Eukaryota; Metazoa; Chordata; Testudines; Cheloniidae.
CUACACUGGCAAUAGAGCGCUGGAGCCUCUGCACAAAUAGCCUUAAGUCUCUUGUAGAGAUGUCUGGCAUGAAAUAACAAAACUUCCAUUGACCUCAAUGGAACCAGGAUUUCACUCUGUUCUAAAAGCAACCAGCACUAUAUUUAUUUGAAAUAUCAGAUAUCAUAGGAGUCACCCUUUUGUGAUUUACCAUUUUUACUUUGUUGGCCAAACUGAAAGUUGUGAUUUUAAAAAGGGAGUUCUGCUAAAAAACUGGUAGAAUGAUAUAUCCCCAUUUACAGUUUUUAGUCAGAAGACAAGCUAUUAAUGUUUGGAUAUUUUUAUUUUAUGUAUAUACAUUGGCAAGGAGGGAAAGAAA